This 486-nucleotide long non-coding RNA is filed under the name Homo sapiens (human). Its description in RNAcentral is "non-protein coding lnc-TRMT61B-7:3". Lineage: Eukaryota; Metazoa; Chordata; Mammalia; Primates; Hominidae. The record is from RNAcentral.
AGAGUUGUCAGGCAAUCCUUCCUGGUCACCGGGCAGAAAAAGAGAGGCAGUUAUAGACACACUGGAUCAUAUAAGUGACACUCAGAAACAGCCACACACUAUCUGUGGAUUCUAUUUUUCUACGAUGCUUGCUUUCUUUACCGAGGUCUUUGGCAUGUCCACGUUUUGGCUGACAUAGCGAAACCCCGUCUCUACUAAAAAUACAAACUAUUAGCUUGGGGUGGUGCUGCAUGCCUGUGGAAAUAGACUUCUUCUGAUUUCUGUAGGAGUGACUUUUAUGGAGACGAGUCACCUUACGGCUGUCUGAGGAACCAGGAAAGCACUGGACCCAUCUACUCUGAAACAAAGGAACAACUUCCAGGAUAACAAAGAAAAAGUCAGUUUUUACCACCAAGACACCUUGGAUAAAAGAUAGGAAAAACCCAUCCUUGUCAAUGGGCUCUGCAAUGCCAGCUGUGGAGUCUGAGUGCUGGCUUCCUCUCUGGG